RNAcentral lists this ribosomal RNA (400 nucleotides) under uncultured bacterium. RNAcentral describes it as "partial 16S ribosomal RNA". It matches the Rfam family "Bacterial small subunit ribosomal RNA", at positions 360 to 776 of the family's 1533-position model. The record is from RNAcentral.
AAUAUUGCACAAUGGGGGAAACCCUGAUGCAGCAACGCCGCGUGAGUGACGAAGGCCUUCGGGUUGUAAAGCUCUGUCUUCACUGACGAAGUAUGACGGUAAGUGAGGAGGAAGCCACGGCUAACUACGUGACAGCAGCCGCGGUAAUACGUAGGUGGCGAGCGUUAACCGGAAUUAGUGGGUGUACAGGGUGUGUAGGCGGGGAUGCAAGUCAGAUGUGAAAUCCAUUGGCUCAACCUAUGGUGUGCAUUUGAAACUGCGUUUCUUGAGUGUGGGAGAGGUAAGCGGAAUUCCUAGUGUGGCGGUGAAAUGCGUAGAUAUUAGGAGGAACACCAGUGGCGAAGGCGGCUUACUGGACCACAACUGACGCUGAGACACGAAAGCGUGGGGAGCAAACAGG